CGUGCAGGCGGUUUGUUAAGUCUAGGGUGAAAGCUCCCGGCUCAACUGGGAGAGGUCCUUGGAUACUGGCGAACUUGAGGGAUGCAGAGGAAAGUGGAAUUCCCGGUGUAGUGGUGAUAUGCGUAGAUAUCGGGAGGAACACCAGUGGCGAAGGCGGCUUUCUGGGCAUUUCCUGACGCUGAGACGCGAAAGCGUGGGAGCGAACCC
RNAcentral lists this ribosomal RNA (207 nucleotides) under uncultured bacterium. Its description in RNAcentral is "partial 16S ribosomal RNA". It matches the Rfam family "Bacterial small subunit ribosomal RNA", at positions 568 to 775 of the family's 1533-position model. The record is from RNAcentral.